AACGAACGCUGGCGGCAUGCCUAACACAUGCAAGUCGAACGAGACCUUCGGGUCUAGUGGCGCACGGGUGCGUAACGCGUGGGAACCUGCCCUUAGGUUCGGAAUAACUCCCCGAAAGGGGUGCUAAUACCGGAUAAUGUCUUCGGACCAAAGAUUUAUCGCCUUUGGAUGGGCCCGCGUUGGAUUAGCUAGUUGGUAGGGUAAAAGCCUACCAAGGCGACGAUCCAUAGCUGGUCUGAGAGGAUGAUCAGCCACACUGGGACUGAGGCACGGCCCAGACUCCUACGGGAGGCAGCAGUGGGGAAUAUUGGACAGUGGGCGAAAGCCUGAUCCAGCAAUGCCGCGUGAGUGAUGAAGGCCUUAGGGUUGUAAAGCUCUUUUACCCGGGAUGAUAAUGACAGUACCGGGAGAAUAAGCUCCGGCUAACUCCGUG
This 433-nucleotide ribosomal RNA is filed under the name uncultured bacterium. Its description in RNAcentral is "partial 16S ribosomal RNA". It matches the Rfam family "Bacterial small subunit ribosomal RNA", at positions 29 to 507 of the family's 1533-position model. The record is from RNAcentral.